GGUCAGGGUGAACGCUGGCGGCGUGCUUAACACAUGCAAGUCGAACGAAGCACCUGGUCACGAUCCCUUGGGGUGACGACCUUGUGACUGAGUGGCGGACGGGUGAGUAACGCGUGGGAAACCUGCCAUGUACUGGGGGAUAACAGUUGGAAACGACUGCUAAUACCGCAUAACACUGUUGGAUCGCAUGAUCUGAUAGCCAAAACUCCGGUGGUACAUGAUGGUCCCGCGUCUGAUUAGGCAGUUGGCGGGGUAACGGCCCACCAACCGACGAUCAGUAGCCGACCUGAGAGGGUGACCGGCCACAUUGGGACUGAGACACGGCCCAGACUCCUACGGGAGGCAGCAGUGGGGAAUAUUGCACAAUGGAGGAAACUCUGAUGCAGCGAACCGCCGCGUGAGCGAUGAAGUAUUUCGGUAUGUAAAGCUCUAUCAGCAGGGAAGAUAAUGACGGUACCUGACUAAGAAGCACCGGCUAAAUACGUGCCAGCCGCCGC
This 497-nucleotide ribosomal RNA is filed under the name uncultured bacterium. RNAcentral's name for it is "bacterial SSU rRNA". It matches the Rfam family "Bacterial small subunit ribosomal RNA", at positions 22 to 518 of the family's 1533-position model. The record is from RNAcentral.